CAGUCGACGCUUCUUUUUCACCGGAGCUUGCUCCACCGGAAAAAGAGGAGUGGCGAACGGGUGAGUAACACGUGGGUAACCUGCCCAUCAGAAGGGGAUAACACUUGGAAACAGGUGCUAAUACCGUAUAACAAUCGAAACCGCAUGGUUUUGAUUUGAAAGGCGCUUUCGGGUGUCGCUGAUGGAUGGACCCGCGGUGCAUUAGCUAGUUGGUGAGGUAACGGCUCACCAAGGCGACGAUGCAUAGCCGACCUGAGAGGGUGAUCGGCCACAUUGGGACUGAGACACGGCCCAAACUCCUACGGGAGGCAGCAGUAGGGAAUCUUCGGCAAUGGACGAAAGUCUGACCGAGCAACGCCGCGUGAGUGAAGAAGGUUUUCGGAUCGUAAAACUCUGUUGUUAGAGAAGAACAAGGAUGAGAGUAACUGUUCAUCCCUUGACGGUAUCUAACCAGAAAGCCACGGCUAACUACGUGCCAGCAGCCGCGGUAAUACGUAGGUGGCAAGCGUUGUCCGGAUUUAUUGGGCGUAAAGCGAGCGCAGGCGGUUUCUUAAGUCUGAUGUGAAAGCCCCCGGCUCAACCGGGGAGGGUCAUUGGAAACUGGGAGACUUGAGUGCAGAAGAGGAGAGUGGAAUUCCAUGUGUAGCGGUGAAAUGCGUAGAUAUAUGGAGGAACACCAGUGGCGAAGGCGGCUCUCUGGUCUGUACUGACGCUGAGGCUCGAAAGCGUGGGGAGCAACAGGAU
This 744-nucleotide ribosomal RNA is filed under the name uncultured bacterium. RNAcentral describes it as "bacterial SSU rRNA". It matches the Rfam family "Bacterial small subunit ribosomal RNA", at positions 59 to 778 of the family's 1533-position model. The record is from RNAcentral.